CCCUCCCUUCUUCCUUAAAUCCAAGUUUUCUCUCAAGAUCCCUCUCCCACCGUCUCUCACACUUUAAGUUGCCCUCCGGGAACCAAGUUCCUCCCCUUCUCCUUCUUCAUUUGGAAUGAUUCGAGCCUACCCUAGACUCAACCCGUCUUCUCUAAAUCGGCACUCCACUUCUCCAAAAUCCUUAUCUUUCUACUAAAAACCCUUCAUU
Molecule: long non-coding RNA, 208 nt
Filed under: Elaeis guineensis (African oil palm)
Lineage: Eukaryota; Viridiplantae; Streptophyta; Magnoliopsida; Arecales; Arecaceae
Description: long non-coding RNA (EGUI_LNC014718)
Source: RNAcentral